AAGUAAGAAACUCUGAUGGAUAAUCAAACAGAAGCGCACAAAAGUUUUCAGAGUGGUCACUGCCAUGCUUAUUGGACUGAACAUAAUUGCCAUUCUCAUAAAACAGAAACUGAAGCGACUGAAUUGUGUUUUCGGUGAAAGAAACAAAAAUACCAGCAACUUCACUUCGUCCAUUUUCUUCCCAUAUGGAACCAACAUUGCUUCCCACUGGUCCAACUUUGAUCAUCUCAAAUUUACAAAAACAAAAAAACA
This 252-nucleotide unclassified non-coding RNA is filed under the name Hevea brasiliensis (rubber tree). Lineage: Eukaryota; Viridiplantae; Streptophyta; Magnoliopsida; Malpighiales; Euphorbiaceae. The record is from RNAcentral.